UUAUAUAUGUGAUUUUUUGAAAUAAUGAACUUUAUUUAUUUGAUUUUAAUUUUUGUAUAUACUUGAUUAAUUUGAAUAAAUUUAGAUUAGAUGUUGAUAAAUUGAAAUUUAUUCCGGAUAUUUAUAUAUGUUUUCCUAUAAGAAAUUCUUAAAAAAUGAAAAAUAUGGACUGGCCGACAAGGAAAAACCUGUCACGAAGGACACACAAGAAUCCUGAAUCCAAUUACUAAUUAUGUGUCAACCUUCCCGAUGCAUUUUCUGCAACAAUUCAUCACAUGCUGUGAGUUGAUCCCUUCUACCUUUCCCUUCUCGGGGUGCUAAAACACCCAUUCUUAUCCAUCUACUAUCUUCUUUCUACAAAUAGCAAACAUAAAGGUUAAAGGGAAAUUACCCAUGUUGUACUAAUUUAGAAGGAAAUUAAGCAUAUAUCUAGAUAGAGAACAUGUUGAUGGGGAUAAGCUUGCAAUGCAUGAUGGACUUGAUGGUAGCUGGUUUUUCCCUAAUGAUUGGAUUAGGGAUUUUUGCUUUCAUUGCUUCAAUUCUCUGCUCUGCUGCUUUUUACCAGAACGCUAAGCAACUUUCUUGAAUCUACACCGCCUUAUGGAUUUAUUAGGUAUCAAUAUUUGUGCUUUUUUCUUGCUUUAUAUUUUGGGUAUUUGAAAAUUUGUAUCUUUUUCUUGGAGAAUUAAGAGUAUUUAAUAUAGUAAAUUGAGCUCCCAAAUUUGGUCAAAUAGAGUAUGAUCAGCCCAAUUAAGAAUGGGUUUGCAUUAAUUAGUGGGAUUAUUUGUACAAAUAUUUAUUGAGGAUUCAUAUAGUCAAUAGUUUGGUAUUGAGACUUUAGUGGAAUGGUUGGUGAAGAAUAUCUGACCCCAAGUAAUAAAAUUGUUGAGGUUCUCUUCUUUUGCAUCUUUUUGCAAUGCAUAUCUUUGGUUUCAAUUCAAGUACGCUAUAAAAAGGUAAUUAGUUCUAUUCUAAUUAUUGUCUCUAGUUUCUUCAAUUUGGGGUCUAGAUCACUAUUCUAAGUUGUUGAAUUGCUAAGGUCAUGUAAAUUGCUUAUAGACCGAAAUUGAAUCAGGAUUAUGCAAGGUCAAUGUUAAAUUCUGUUUUUUUCUUCUCUGUAUAUAUAUAUAUAUAUAUAUAUAUUGCGACAUUCACCUGGGAGAGACAGGCAAGGAUGUGAUAUUGAUAAAGAACUUGUUGAGUUCUGAUGAAUGACCGAAGAUUAGUAUGUAAAUGGUCAAGAGAACAACAAUUUGCUGAACUAGGAACUCUGGUUUUGUUAUAUACCUCUCCUUGGUAGUGUUUUUCAACCAUGCAACGCCUUUGUGAGCUUGUUCAAGAUAUAUUGGACAGAUUUUGCUUUCAAUCUCCAUGGAGAUGUCUAGAUUCUUCUCUAAACUGAUGGAAACUUAGGUUUAGACAAAAUUGUAAGUGAUUGUUUCUUCCUUGAUUGUGAGCUUUCUCUUUAAGAUGCUACAGUUUUAUGUGCAUAAGAUAUGCUUUGGAAGCACGGAGCUCCAUCUAGUUUUACAGCUUACAGUGUAAUACGAGGUUCGUGAAAGAAUAUACUAUAUCUGUCACCUGAAGUGCAUAGCCUUCGCACUGCCCUUAGCAUUAUGCAGCCUUUUAUAUGGUGUAAGGCUUGAGACGGACGGAACUAUUAAACUAAGGUGGCCAGUGUUCUUGAUCAGACUAAGACAAGUUGGUAGUCCCUUCUCUGUCUUCAAUUUUGGACUGCAAUAUAGUCUAUAGAUGCUAAUGAUGUAAACAAUAACAACGUGAGGACUUAUAUCAGGUAGAUAAGUUCCCUCCACCGUAAUGCAGGUUUCUAAAAUUUCACAGGGCAUGGAUAUUAAGACGGAAUUUUAGUUGUUUUGUACCGAGCGGAUCGAUAAUAUGCGUCAUAUUAUGAUUUGAUAAAUAGAACUUGAAAUUGUAUAGAAGUGAAUCUUAUAGUACCUUUAUAUUCUUAUGUAAUUGGAUGGUUUUGUUUAGAAUGAGAAAACCUUUCUUUCCAGAAGUGAACAGUAUUUUGAACUGAAAAAUGGAGUAAUAGGACAAUUAUUCAGGAUUUAUAUGCCUAAUGAAAGAUCAUUACCAAUAGGAGAAUUUGUAGUAAGUUGGUGGUUUCGCUGAAACUGUAAAUUAAAAUAUGUGUCCUCCAUUUAGAACUAGACGUCCCUUCCCCACCCUCACCCACCUCUACAAUAGAACAAGUAGUAAAACUCUCCAAAGACAGAGGAGUUCGGUCCCCAGGGCUUGAUUUAGUAACAAGGCCCUAACUUGUGCUAUGUGGAUUAGGGCAGACGGGUCUAACCCCUGUGGCAAAUAAAAGCCGAGUGUUUGAGUGGAGAAGAAUAGAGGGACAGCCUUAUUGUCUACCGAGUCUCGAUUAUGCACCACUAGCCCUUGGGAAAUUAGUUAGUAACAUCUCCUCAUGGUUGCUUCUGGCUGAAAUAAAACGAGAACAGGUACAAUUUUUUCCAACCUUUUUUUCUUUAGCUUGUCAUGAAAUAAUGAAAGAGCUUAGCUUAGAGUACUACUCUAGCCGUGCAUCUGUGAAUAAACAAUGAACCAUAGUUUCACUAAUUUACUGAUACUACUGCUAUUAUACUAUCCCAAUGAGGAGGUGUGAGGUUGACAAUAGUGGGUCUAAGUAGAGGUAGAGGUAAGUUGAAGAAGUAUCGAGGAGAGAUGAUUAGACAAGAUAUGAUACAUAAUUAGUUUACUGAGGACAUGACCUUAGAUAAGAAUACGGAGGUCGAGGAUUAGGGAGAAAGUUAGUAUGUAAUUGAGUUUGGGGCUUGUUUUUGUUCCUUAUUUUCCGUAUCAUCAUUAUUAUUAUUAUUAUUAUUAUUAUUAUUAUUAUUAUUAUUAUUAUCGUCAUUCUCGUAUUAUCUUUUCCCUCAAUCUCUAUUACUACUUGAUGCUUUUUUGCUUCGGUUAUCCUUCUGCUUUGUUAUUUCGAUGUUUUUACUGUUCUUAUCUGCAUUAUUCUCAACUCUUCACUAUUGUUUUCCUUUUCAAACCUGCUUUGAAAUGCUUUUUUUAAGUCGAAGGUCUAUCGGAAACAAUCCUUCUACUUCUACAAGGUAAGGGCAAGGUCUACGAAUACUGUAUACACUACAUUCCCCGGACCCAACCUGUGGGAAUACACAUGUUUGUUGCUAUUAUCUCUACGUGCAUAUGUACUUGCCUUUGAGCCUACUCCUUCGAAGUUUGAUGGUGUUUUACUUCCUAAUGUUAUCCCUUCCUAACUCACAGACUCACUGAUUCAUGGCUGCAUAUGCAGGUAAGAUAUAUAACACUACAGACGUUAUUUAAAUCCAAAAACAAAAACAAAGAAAGAUGACAGACAAAAAUUCAAGAAUAAAAGGGGUUUCUCCACUGUCCGUUUUACUUAAUCAGGCACUGUUGUUGCUUGUAUGCCAGGAGCUGCUGGAGAGAUGAACUAACUGAUUAGCAGGAACAGUUAUGCUGUUUGUAACAGAUAGAGAGAAGUAUUUCCUCUUAGAGAAAAGGCAUUUGUAUGCAAUAGUAGAAUGAAUAUGCAUUUUUGAAGCGGCUAUUUUCUUCUUCUUUUUUAAUAUUUUCUUGUGUUCUAGAAACUUCUUUAUUGCUUCUUCAAAAUAGCAGCAUGCCUUUGAAGUUCACAUUGAAAUAUGCCCGAUGGGUUUGCUUUUACAUUCUCUGUUUACUAAGAGUUUCUCUGUCCACACUAAAUAUUUUAUCAAUUACAAAGUAGCGAAUUGGUAGGUUGAUUAGUUUGAACCGAGACUCUAAUCGUUGAAGUAGUCCUUUGAUCAAUGAUUUUAGUAGCUUAUUCUGAAAAUAAAAUAAAAUGUUAAUUAUCGCCAAACAAGGAAAUUCCAGGAACAAUUAUUCUUAUUACAGAAGCAUUUUCCUCGGCUUGUUCUGAUACCGACUUCUUUAUACGAGACAAAGAGGUGUACUAUAAAGCAGAGGCAAGGUUUUCAGUUAACGAUCUUGGGUUAGC
This 3997-nucleotide long non-coding RNA is filed under the name Nicotiana benthamiana. RNAcentral's name for it is "long non-coding RNA (NBEN_LNC015344)". Lineage: Eukaryota; Viridiplantae; Streptophyta; Magnoliopsida; Solanales; Solanaceae. The record is from RNAcentral.